AUUGAACGCUGGCGGCAGGCUUAACACAUGCAAGUCCAGCGAGCGGCGGACGGGUGAGUAAUGUCUGGGAAACUGCAUGAGGGAGGGGGAUGAUGGCUGGACACGGUAGCUAAUAACCCACAGCAUAUGAUGUGCCCAGAUGGGAUGAGCUAGUGGGUGGGGUAAAGGCUCACCUAGGCGACGGUCCCUAGCUGGUCUGAGAGGAUGACCAGCCACACUGGAACUGAGACACGGUCCAGACUCCUACGGGAGGCAGCAGUGGGGAAUAUGGCACAAUGGGCGCAAGCCUGAUGCAGCCAUGCCGCGUGUGUGAAGAAGGCCUUCGGGUUGUAAAGCACUUUCAGCGAGGAGGCGUUACUCGCAGAAGAAGCACCGGCUAACUCCGUGCCAGCAGCCGCGGUAAUUC
This 406-nucleotide ribosomal RNA is filed under the name uncultured bacterium. Its description in RNAcentral is "partial 16S ribosomal RNA". It matches the Rfam family "Bacterial small subunit ribosomal RNA", at positions 29 to 526 of the family's 1533-position model. The record is from RNAcentral.